CCCUUCUCAAACUGUGAGCUGCUUCUGUUGUGCAUUUUGUCUGGCUUUGAGAAAAGUAACUAGUCCAGAAGAACAAUGCUCCUCUUCUCUCCCUCCAAGGAAAUCUAGGAGUUUCUCUCUUGAAAUAGUAGGGGACCAAAUGAAUGUACUAUGUGUAUUCCACCUUUGUGAUAUUCCACCUUUGAGAUUUCCAAAUCUCUGCUGAACCUGACAUGACAACUUGGUACAGACACGGCAUGUCUGUAUGACUUGUCUUACCUCAUAACAACAUGAGGUAACAUGACAACAGAUAAGGAACAUCCCUGGGAUAAUGAUGAGUCGCUCUGAACAACUUAAAUUCAAGAAGUUUUCACAGAGGAGAUGAUACAUGGCUAGCCACAGGAGGAUGAAUGCACUACAGGUGUUUCCAGGAGAAAGAAGAGCACAAAGAAGUAUGCAUCCCACUUAUUCUAUGACAGCAAAGCGGAGUCUGAGAUCAUUUUACUGUACACAGCAGUAUCUGUGAUUACUUUCUGGAGAUGGGAAAGCCUGAUAGCGUUGUAAAGUAAACGAAACUUAAUGUCAAAAGGAUGGAGCCACUGGGAUUCUGCAAAUUUCCAAGAAACAGGCG
RNAcentral lists this long non-coding RNA (610 nucleotides) under Mus spicilegus (steppe mouse). Its description in RNAcentral is "lncRNA (ENSMSIG00000015847.1)". Lineage: Eukaryota; Metazoa; Chordata; Mammalia; Rodentia; Muridae. The record is from RNAcentral.